CACACCACAUACAGUCAAGCAAAGUGCACCCUAGUAUACUGAAUGAACACACAACAGUCAAUCAUAUGGCAUCACAUCAGCACCCACAAACAAUAUCACCUUCAAAUAAUCACACCACGUGGAAAUUAGUCAGUGGAGUCACCGAACCCUUGAUGAGCCGUCCUCCCACAUGGCUCAUCCUCUCACAUGUGCACCAGGGAGCC
This 203-nucleotide long non-coding RNA is filed under the name Jatropha curcas. RNAcentral's name for it is "long non-coding RNA (JCUR_LNC001103)". The record is from RNAcentral. Lineage: Eukaryota; Viridiplantae; Streptophyta; Magnoliopsida; Malpighiales; Euphorbiaceae.